RNAcentral lists this ribosomal RNA (547 nucleotides) under uncultured bacterium. RNAcentral's name for it is "bacterial SSU rRNA". It matches the Rfam family "Bacterial small subunit ribosomal RNA", at positions 355 to 896 of the family's 1533-position model. The record is from RNAcentral.
UGGGGAAUAUUGCGCAGUGGGGGGAACCCUGACGCAGCCAUGCCGCGUGAAUGAAGAAGGCCUUAGGGUUGUAAAGUUCUUUCGGUAUUGAGGAAGGUUGAUGUGUUAAUAGCACAUCAAAUUGACGUUAAAUACAGAAGAAGCACCGGCUANCUCCGUGCCAGCAGCCGCGGUAAUACGGAGGGUGCGAGCGUUAAUCGGAAUAACUGGGCGUAAAGGGCACGCAGGCGGUUAUUUAAGUGAGGUGUGAAAGCCCCGGGCUUAACCUGGGAAUUGCAUUUCAGACUGGGUAACUAGAGUACUUUAGGGAGGGGUAGAAUUCCACGUGUAGCGGUGAAAUGCGUAGAGAUGUGGAGGAAUACCGAAGGCGAAGGCAGCCCCUUGGGAAUGUACUGACGCUCAUGUGCGAAAGCGUGGGGAGCAAACAGGAUUAGAUACCCUGGUAGUCCACGCUGUAAACGCUGUCGAUUUGGGGGUUGGGGUUUAACUCUGGCGCCCGUAGCUAACGUGAUAAAUCGACCGCCUGGGGAGUACGGCCGCAAGGUUA